GACGAACGCUGGCGGCGUGCUUAACACAUGCAAGUCGAGCGACGCUCUUCCUUCGGUGAGAUGACGGAGCGGCGAACGGGUGAGUAACACGUGGGCAACCUGCCCCUAGCUCUGUGACAACACCGCGAAACCGGUGCUAAUACCGGAUACGACAUCGCUCGGCAUCUCUCGAUGUGUACAGUGUUUUCGGCUAGGGAUGGGCCCGCGGCCUAUCAGCUUGUUUGUGUGGUAAUGGCCCACCAAGGCGACGACGGGUAGCCGGCCUGGGAGGGCGACCGGCCACAGUGGGACUGAGACACGGCCCAGAGUCCUACGGGAGGCAGCAGGGGGGAAGAUUGAGCAAGGGGCGAAAGCCUGACGCAGCGACGCCGCGUGAGGGAUGACGGCCUUCGGGUUGUAAACCUCUUUCAGCAGGGACGAAGUCAGACGGUACCUGCAGAAGAAGCACCGGCCAACUACGUG
RNAcentral lists this ribosomal RNA (462 nucleotides) under uncultured bacterium. Its description in RNAcentral is "partial 16S ribosomal RNA". It matches the Rfam family "Bacterial small subunit ribosomal RNA", at positions 28 to 507 of the family's 1533-position model. The record is from RNAcentral.